UACGGGGGGGAGCAAGCGUUGUUCGGAUUUACUGGGCGUAAAGGGCGCGUAGGCGGUCGUGACAAGUCACUUGUGAAAUCUCCGGGCUUAACUCGGAACGGUCAAGUGAUACUGUCGGACUAGAGUACAGAAGGGGCAACUGGAAUUCUCGGUGUAGCGGUGAAAUGCGCAGAUAUCAGGAGGAACACCAGUGGCGAAGGCGGUGCUCUGGGCCGGAACUGACGCUGAGGAGCGAAAGCGUGGGGAGCAAACAGG
Molecule: ribosomal RNA, 255 nt
Filed under: uncultured bacterium
Lineage: Bacteria
Description: partial 16S ribosomal RNA
Rfam family: Bacterial small subunit ribosomal RNA
Source: RNAcentral